RNAcentral lists this long non-coding RNA (703 nucleotides) under Phoenix dactylifera (date palm). RNAcentral's name for it is "long non-coding RNA (PDAC_LNC010878)". Lineage: Eukaryota; Viridiplantae; Streptophyta; Magnoliopsida; Arecales; Arecaceae. The record is from RNAcentral.
AGAAUGGAAAACUCCUUUUCCACUGUACAUACUACCCCGGCCGAGGAUUUACGAACUCAGUCUCAUAAAUCAUAUAUGAUCUCUCUUAACCUAUCAAGAUCGAUAGAUUCCAUCUAGAUGCACCCCUACUCCUACAAUGAACCUACUGCAGCCAAUCUGCACCACAAGAACCCAAUUGGCUAGGGCUCAUGUUUAUGUGCUCGUCAAACUACAGCAACCUCACUGUGAAUAGCCGAGGCAUCGCUGGUCAAAGGACCAGUCAUACAACUGCAGCAUCAAGUGAGUCACUGACGAGUGGAUAGACAUCCAAGUGACUACUUGCUAUGGUCACGCUCAGUACCCUUGUUCUCUAACAAGCACUUGCACAAUUGCUCCAGUGUCGCCACACUGUGGACUCAAGACUCGUCCAUCAAAAAAAGCGAUCUGUGCACUAAUCUCAGCGGAUCGAUCACCGUCCUCGUGAUGAUCCAUCGAUCAGGAGCAAUUCAAAAAUUAAUCACCAAUGACACAUGCCUCAAAUUCUCAACUCUUGAGAAUAUGCAUCAUUAUCUUAUUAAUUUCUUGGACGAUUCACGGACACAUAAGAACAUGAAUGAAAAGAAUGCCCAACUUAAUAAAUUCAUAAUUAGGUCAAGUACAAAUUUAUGUCCCAGAAUAAAAUAAUGCGUCAGCCAAAUUGGCUUCUAGGGCAUACUUCUAACAG